GUCAGUCUCUCCGGAGCAGGCCAGAGCUGAGACGGGGCUGUCGAGGAAGAAGGGAAGGAGGUGAAGGGGAAAAAACAGAGGGGAGAAGAGGAGAGGCUGAUUUGAGAAAGGAGGUCACGGGCCACAACAAGGCCACGGAACAAAAACAAUAGUAAUCGCUGAGCUGGUGCACGUGUGUGACUGCACAUGCCUGUGUUGGACGCUGCCAGACUCUUUCCAGAUGGGGAUCAGUGUGAAGCAGCUGGACAGUUUUUGGGGGGAUUCAGAAGCGGUCAGGGCCACGUCUGCAUAAACAAAAUCCCCAGAGCAUCUGAAGUGCACUUGACAGACCUUUUGUUCCUGUUUCCCACUACUCUCUGGAGAAGAAGCAGCACCGGUGUGACCUACACAGUGGUUUCCUGGUCAGAGUACCACCAGAGUUUGUCCUCCAUUCUGUGGAACACAGUCUGUAGCUGAACUGUUCUGGCGGCAGCAGAAUUCAAACAUGAGUGAUGGAUGUAUAAUUCACCGUGGAAUUCUAGACGAAGUUUCUAGUCCACACUGAUGCUUCCAUCUUCAGUGUUGGACCACUUGGGAGGCUACACCUGUGAACAAAGGGUUAUGAGGAUCAGGACCUAGGAUAAGGAGUCUGAGCCUCCAGCUGGUUUGGUCUUCAUUGAGGAGGACUUCACUGCUCUCUAUGGUCUAUACUGGUGAUGUUCACUAGUUCAUGAGGUCCAGCAGAACCAAAGGACGGGUAUCUGAUGUUUGGUAUCCACAAAACAUCAUGUAUCUUUUUUAAAGGAGCCUGUUGAUCAGGAACGUCUCUCUGUAGGUCAGCGGAGAGUUCUGGGAUGUGGUUGAGAGAAGUCGCCUUUGUGUGUUAAGAUCUAAGACCCCAGUGAUGUUCAGAGAGCCAGAGUUUGAUCACCAUCUAGUGAGGACCGUUCUGCUCAGUUUCAUGAUGCUGAUAAUGAUGUGUGGUGGUGGUGGAGGUAUUGAUGGUCUGGAAGAGCAGGAGGAGAGAGCAGCUCCCAGAACCUGUGAAGGAGCUGGAGAUGUCCCUAAGUCAAAUGUGGCAAAAGAAAUUCCAGUCUGAGCCUCAAACAUGAUGUAAAUAACUGAUGACA
Long non-coding RNA from Synchiropus splendidus (mandarinfish), 1109 nucleotides. RefSeq lists it as uncharacterized. The transcript is spliced from 4 exons. NCBI's taxonomy places the organism in Eukaryota, Metazoa, Chordata, Actinopteri, Syngnathiformes, Callionymidae. The record is from RefSeq and is a predicted model, not a curated record.